Long non-coding RNA from Cercocebus atys (sooty mangabey), 2514 nucleotides. RefSeq lists it as uncharacterized. The transcript is spliced from 3 exons. The record is from RefSeq and is a predicted model, not a curated record. Lineage: Eukaryota; Metazoa; Chordata; Mammalia; Primates; Cercopithecidae.
UAGCAUGAUCUCAGCUCACUGCAACCCCCGCCUCCCGGGUUCAAGCAAUUCAGGAAGAGCUACAUUUAUAAGUGUCGUCGUGGUUGACCAGCUGUUGUUUUUCUCUGUUUGGCUGCUGCUUCCGCUUUUGCUUUAGUCAGAACUCUGUCCCAGGAAGACUUGCUCCUCCCUGUUCUCAUGCUAUGUAGCUAAAGUGGUGGUGACCCCAUCUGUGGGCUGUAGGACAUGUGAUAAUGACCUCUAGUUGCAGCUUGAAGUUGCUGCAAAAGACAUGAUUUUAUUCUUUGCCAUGGCUGAGCAGCAUUCCAUGAUGGGACGUGCAUUUUGGGAUGGAGCUUGAAGAUACCUAAAAAAGAUCUGGCUUGAAGGGGGAGGAUGUGUUUCACGAGGAGAGAAAAGCACAAGCAAACCCUUGGAGGCAUGAAAGAAAAGGGAACACACUGGAGAAUGUGGAGGAGAUGAGUCUGGGGGCAGACUCGUCUGCAGCGGUCAGACCAGGGGUCACCAUUCAUCUACUCCUCUACAAGGGAGACUGGAGGGGUCAGACCAGGAGGACCUGGAAUGCCAGGAUCAUGAAAGAUAGUGUGGCUUCCACUUUGGUCUCUUAUAUCACCUACUGGGGAAAGCCAGCUGCCAUGUUGUGAGGACACUCAAGAAGCUCUGUGGAGAGGCUCAUUUGAAGGAGAACCAGUGCCUCCCACCAACAGCCAGCAUCAACUUGGGACAUGUGAGUGAACUACUUGGAAGUGGAUCCUCCAGCCAAGUCAAGCCUUCAGAUGACUGAAGCCUCGGCCUCAUGAGAGACAGCAGGUCAAAACCGCCCAGCUAAGCUGCUCCUGAAAUCCUGACCCCUGAAAUUAUGAAAGAUAGUAAAUUAUUAAUGUUGUUUUAAGCCACUACAUGUCGGGGAGAUUCAUUAUGCAGCAAUAGAUAAUGAAUACAUCACCCUUGUAUUCAUUACUGAUGUUUAUUGGGAGCAUAGUGUGUGAUUUUUCAUUUAACCCUUCCAGUAAUGCUGUGAGAUAGAUACUUUUAUUAUCCCCAUUUUACAGACAAAGAAACUGAGGUUCAGAAUGAGUGAAGUGCAGAGUUCCUGACCUUAAGGAUUUUAUGGUCAGAUCUGAGAGACAGAAGCUCAAAAACCUAUGACUCUAGGCAAAAUAUGGCUCUAGGAUCCCAGGAAAGGGAGAGGAAUUUUGGAUUCUGGCUUCUGCUUGGGCCUCAUAGCUUGGGGUGACAGAGGGUACACUCCAAAGGCAGCAAACACCUUCCCUGCCCUUGAGUACUUGCUUAAUCAAGGGGAGAAAGUUCAGAUGCUUAUGCAUAAUGGGUGGUAUUUCUCUGCACAGAAACACACAUAGGCCUGUACAGUAAUGAUGAAAAGCAGCAACCCAUCUUAAGGGCUCGGCACUUUGUACUUACAAAGCCUUACACAUCCCUAAUUCCAUGAAAUCCCACCUGGCAGGUAAGCAUGGCCCUGUACGCUUGACAGAUGGGGACACUGAGGCCAGGGAAGUUGUGUGAUUCUUGCAGAGCCAAGCAGCCUAGAAGUGGCAGAGCUCAGGUAAAACCCAGCAACUGGGUGUUUUUACAAGUGCUAAGGGUACAACAGGUGGUAGGCAGAGCUCCUCUGAGGGAGGUUCCAGGAAGAGGUUACCCGGGAGCAGAGUUCUGAGAAUGGGGAAGUGGCUUGGUGGGGAGGAUCGUGCCUGGGAGGGGCUGAGAGGAAACAGAGUGAGUCCCUAGGAGGCUCCCGGGGUGUACGAGGGCAAAGAGGAGAACAUAGCUGGAGUGGAAAGAAUGAACAAGCCUGGGCAUGUGGAAGAGGCUUGGUGUGUUAGGUGGAAUUGCAGCUGGAGGGUGUGUGCAGAAUGAGAGGUCUUGGUAUUAGGGCCAAAGUCAACUGCCAUGCCUAAGGUGGGAAGAAGGCGCUUGUUUUGCUUCUUGGGUGCAAAUCAUUCCUGUGAUUUAGUUCUCCCUGGGGGAGAGGCGGGGUUUCAUCCAGCCUCAGCAAAUGCAUUCAAUCUUCACUACUUCUCUCUGUCAGAUGGGGCGGAUAGAGGUCCAGAUGUGGGCAGAAGCUUUUAUGUCCCAUCACAGGGCAACUAAGAACAGCUGUGCAGGUCGUUCACUGCACAUGAGCACUAGGCCAAAAGGGACUGAAAUCCUUUGUUUGCCCUUUGUUUACUAAGCCAUGUGCCUGCAAAGCCACACCUGCCCAGAGGGAGUGGUUCCUUUUUCUUUUCUUUUAAAAGAAUUGUUUUUUUUUUAUGAGCUAAAAUUCACAAAAUAUAGAAUCUACCAUUUAAACCACUUUAAAGUAUGAAAUUCAGUGGUUUUAGUAUAUUCACAAUGUUGUGCAACCGUCACCACUAUCAGUUUUUGGAACAUUCCCAUCAUUCCAAAACACAACUCCAUAACUCCUAAUUCCCCCCCUUUCCCAUCUCUUGGCAACCAUGAAUCUGAACUUUCAUAUGAAUGGAGUUCUAUAAUUUGCUGUCUUUUGUGACUGUC